GCCUUGGUGGUGGAAUGGUAGACACAGUUGAUUCAAAAUCAACCACCUUUUUGGUGUGGAGGUUCAAGUCCUCUUCAAGGCA
This 82-nucleotide transfer RNA is filed under the name Ostreobium quekettii. RNAcentral describes it as "tRNA-Leu". It matches the Rfam family "tRNA". From Rfam's summary of the family: Transfer RNA (tRNA) molecules are approximately 80 nucleotides in length. Their secondary structure includes four short double-helical elements and three loops (D, anti-codon, and T loops). Lineage: Eukaryota; Viridiplantae; Chlorophyta; Ulvophyceae; Bryopsidales; Ostreobiaceae. The record is from RNAcentral.